RNAcentral lists this ribosomal RNA (253 nucleotides) under uncultured bacterium. RNAcentral describes it as "partial 16S ribosomal RNA". It matches the Rfam family "Bacterial small subunit ribosomal RNA", at positions 524 to 776 of the family's 1533-position model. The record is from RNAcentral.
UACGUAGGUGGCGAGCGUUGUCCGGAUUUACUGGGCGUAAAGAGCGCGCAGGCGGUCGUUCAAGUCGCGUGUGAAAGCCCCCGGCUCAACUGGGGAGGGUCACGCGAUACUGAUCGACUCGAAGGCAGGAGAGGGAAGUGGAAUUCCCGGUGUAGUGGUGAAAUGCGUAGAUAUCGGGAGGAACACCAGUGGCGAAGGCGACUUCCUGGCCUGUUCUUGACACUCAUGAGCGAAAGCGUGGGGAGCGAUCCGG